RNAcentral lists this non-coding RNA (52 nucleotides) under Homo sapiens (human). Lineage: Eukaryota; Metazoa; Chordata; Mammalia; Primates; Hominidae. The record is from RNAcentral.
ACUAGAAAUACAAAAAUUAGCUGGGUGUGGUGGCACAUGCCUGUAGCUCCAG